RNAcentral lists this ribosomal RNA (487 nucleotides) under uncultured soil bacterium. RNAcentral describes it as "bacterial SSU rRNA". It matches the Rfam family "Bacterial small subunit ribosomal RNA", at positions 26 to 510 of the family's 1533-position model. The record is from RNAcentral.
AGAUUGAACGCUGGCGGCAUGCCUUACACAUGCAAGUCGAACGGCAGCACGGGAGCAAUCCUGGUGGCGAGUGGCGAACGGGUGAGUAAUAUAUCGGAACGUGCCCAGUCGUGGGGGAUAACGCAGUGAAAGCUGUGCUAAUACCGCAUACGAUCUAUGGAUGAAAGCGGGGGACUCGCAAGAGCCUCGCGCGAUUGGAGCGGCCGAUAUCAGAUUAGCUAGUUGGUGGGGUAAAAGCCCACCAAGGCGACGAUCUGUAGCUGGUCUGAGAGGACGACCAGCCACACUGGAACUGAGACACGGUCCAGACUCCUACGGGAGGCAGCAGUGGGGAAUUUUGGACAAUGGGCGCAAGCCUGAUCCAGCAAUGCCGCGUGCAGGAUGAAGGCCUUCGGUUGUAAACUGCUUUUGACGGUAACGAAAGGUCCUUUCUAAUACUAAGGGCCAUGACGGUACCGUAAGAAUAAGCACCGCUAACUACGUGACC